AAAUGACUCUCGGCAACGGAUAUCUCGGCUCUCGCAUCGAUGAAGAACGUAGCGAAAUGCGAUACUUGGUGUGAAUUGCAGAAUCCCGUGAACCAUCGAGUUUUUGAACGCAAGUUGCGCCCGAAGCCAUCUGGCCAGGGCACGUCUGCCUGGGCGUCACGC
Molecule: ribosomal RNA, 162 nt
Filed under: Guilleminea densa var. aggregata
Lineage: Eukaryota; Viridiplantae; Streptophyta; Magnoliopsida; Caryophyllales; Amaranthaceae
Description: 5.8S ribosomal RNA
Rfam family: 5.8S ribosomal RNA
About the family: 5.8S ribosomal RNA (5.8S rRNA) is a component of the large subunit of the eukaryotic ribosome. It is transcribed by RNA polymerase I as part of the 45S precursor that also contains 18S and 28S rRNA.
Source: RNAcentral